UACGAAGGGUGCAAACGUUGCUCGGAAUUAUUGGGCGUAAAGCGCACGUAGGCGGCUUAGCAAGUCGGAAGUGAAAUCCCUCGGCUCAACCAAGGAAGUGCUUUCGAAACUGCUGAGCUUGAGUACUUAAGAGGAUCGCGGAAUUCCCGGUGUAGAGGUGAAAUUCGUAGAUAUCGGGAGGAACGCCAGUGGCGAAGGCGGCGAUCUGGGAAGAUACUGACGCUGAGGUGCGAAAGCGUGGGGAGCAAACAGG
Molecule: ribosomal RNA, 253 nt
Filed under: uncultured bacterium
Lineage: Bacteria
Description: partial 16S ribosomal RNA
Rfam family: Bacterial small subunit ribosomal RNA
Source: RNAcentral